RNA transcript from Aedes albopictus (Asian tiger mosquito), 660 nucleotides. It is a transcript of the gene named small ribosomal subunit protein bS21m, with no coding region annotated. NCBI's taxonomy places the organism in Eukaryota, Metazoa, Arthropoda, Insecta, Diptera, Culicidae. The record is from RefSeq and is a predicted model, not a curated record. The transcript has 4 exons.
CACAGAAGUAAAGAAAACUGCGAGUUCGAUCGCAUGCGUCUGCCGCAAAAAAAGUAGUAUUUUCGUGUAAUUUAUACAAAUUUUGAUUUACGCAAUCGCCGUCCCCGGUGACAACCCGAGCAAAAUGCGUCACGUAAAGUUCAUCGCCCGUACGGUGCUGGUGCAGAACAACAACGUCGAGGAAGCUUGCCGGGUGCUGAACCGCAUCCUUGGGAAAGAGGAAAUCUUCGACCAGUUCCGCAGGACCCGCUUCUACGAGAAGCCAUUCCAGACGAGGCGUCGGGUGAACUUCGAAAAGUGCAAAGCCAUCUACAACGAGGACAUGAACCGGAAGAUUCAGUUCGUGCUGCGGAAGAACAGGGUGGACCCGUUCCCGGGAUGUUCGUAGGAAAGAACGUCGCUCGGGUGGCAAUGAUCGGGGGCUGUUGGCAUCCGGCGUUGGAAUAUUAUUGUGAACAGUUUCCUACAUAUGUACUAGCUUUGCUAAAAGGUUAAUGACGAAUCUUGUAGAAAUGGCCAAAUAUUUCACCACACAUAAAUCAUACCAUAAAACGGACCGAAUGUUGCAACGGGGCAAGAAUUGCUGGAACCGUGCACAAUAAAAUCAGUUGCAAGGGUCUCACUUUUGGGUCCUGUCUCCCCGUGUGUGUCCCUCUUUAA